UCCGUAAUAGUACAGUGGCUAGUAUGCUCCGCUCUCAUGUCAGUGCCGGAGUGACCGGAGUUCGAUUCUCCGUUACGGAA
Molecule: non-coding RNA, 80 nt
Organism: Ophiobolus disseminans
Lineage: Eukaryota; Fungi; Ascomycota; Dothideomycetes; Pleosporales; Phaeosphaeriaceae
Source: the annotation of a GenBank genome assembly